This is a long non-coding RNA of Rosa rugosa (rugosa rose), 400 nucleotides long. RefSeq lists it as uncharacterized. The record is from RefSeq and is a predicted model, not a curated record. The transcript is spliced from 3 exons. NCBI's taxonomy places the organism in Eukaryota, Viridiplantae, Streptophyta, Magnoliopsida, Rosales, Rosaceae.
AAGGGAUCGAAGCCUGAAAUUGAAUUUUUGACGUCGAAAUCGAGCCUUGCCGGAUUCUGCAAAUUUUCGCCGGAUUCUGGAAAUUUUCCGGCCACCUCGACUGUUUUAGGUGAUCGAUGGAUUUAUUUGGCGGACGAUUCAGAUUGAUAUUUGGCUUUUAGAAGACGCAGCGGGAAUUGGAGCGGGUACUACUACAGGUCAAGAGAAUCAGGAUGGAGAUCGAGCUGCGUAGAGUAGCUGCAAUUGUGUCGAUCUAAAUUACUUUGUGAGGUGUAUUAUGCUCAUUUAGAGCUUUACAAUAUUGCUUGUGAGAGUGAAUUGUAAUAAUGAACUCGAGGUUUCGAGAUUUGGAGUUUGUGUACCGUGUGGUGAGGUUAUAUUGAGAAAAAAAUUCAGAACG